GACGAACGCUGGCGGCGUGCUUAACACAUGCAAGUCGAACGAAGAGCGAUGAAGCUUGCUUCUAUCAAUCUUAGUGGCGAACGGGUGAGUAACGCGUAAUCAACCUGCCCUUCAGAGGGGGACAACAGUUGGAAACGACUGCUAAUACCGCAUACGAUCUAACCUCGGCAUCGAGGAAAGAUGAAAGGUGGCCUCUAUUUAUAAGCUAUCACUGAAGGAGGGGAUUGCGUCUGAUUAGCUAGUUGGAGGGGUAACGGCCCACCAAGGCGAUGAUCAGUAGCCGGUCUGAGAGGAUGAACGGCCACAUUGGGACUGAGACACGGCCCAGACUCCUACGGGAGGCAGCAGUGGGGAAUCUUCCGCAAUGGACGAAAGUCUGACGGAGCAACGCCGCGUGAGUGAUGACGGCCUUCGGGUUGUAAAGCUCUGUUAAUCGGGACGAGAGGCCUUUCUUGCGAAUAGUGAGAAGGAUUGACGGUACCGGAAUAGAAAGCCACGGCUAA
Molecule: ribosomal RNA, 503 nt
Filed under: Veillonella dispar
Lineage: Bacteria; Bacillati; Bacillota; Negativicutes; Veillonellales; Veillonellaceae
Description: bacterial SSU rRNA
Rfam family: Bacterial small subunit ribosomal RNA
Source: RNAcentral